GUCAGCAGGCCGCACACGCGCCGGACCGGGUACCGCUGUGCCCGGCCUGGCCGCGGCCUAGUCCCGGCAGACGGGACUGACGAGGUCACCAAGCCCAGGCCGAGACGGCGCGGGUGUCAGGGACUUGGGAAUCCCCCUCCCCCAGUCCCGAUCCCGCUUUCCUUUGGGGUUUCACCUCAGAGGACCCGACAGCACUCUUGCAGGUGGGAACCUACACAAUAGGAGUAAUGUGGCUCCACCUUCCUCUCGGGACUCGGGACCUGGGGGUGGAGACUUGGAAGUUGCAAAGCUCUCGGUGCCGGGAAUCGGGGCUACGGUUGAGUGGGAUCGGGCCAGGGCUGAGGUGGUCCCACCCGUGUAGGGGCGCGGAGAAACGCCUCGACUGCUUCACUGUACCACCACCCACCCGCCACGGGCCUGGAAGGAGCCGCUAAACAUUCCCGAGCCUCAGUUUCCUUAGCACAAACAGGCUGGUAGUUUCCUGGUGCUUGCCAGAUGCCUGAUGGAUGAGAAAGCCUCCUGCGGCCCCGAAAGGGAGUCCAGAGCAGAGGCGGGCCCGCGGUCCACUUUUACAGGUCUGGACGGACUCACGGGACCACGGUCUGGGUGGGGCAUGCGGAAGGGCCUAGGCCAAAUGGGGAGUAGUGGUGAGGGCCCAGGGUCAGACUGGGGGGUGGAGUGAGGUUGUCUGGGAGUCUUGGCUUUAUGAACCGGAAAACCAGGCUAAUAAUUGAAUCCAAUCCAAGGGAUAUUGUAAGUUGUGAUGUGUUGACUGCAGUGCCGCUCCCUAUAGUUGCGCAGGGUGAGGGGCGUUUGGGUACUGAAAUCCCGCACGGUCUCCUUGCUACGCCCGUGUCUAGGCCAGACAGCCUCUGCUUACCAUAGACACCAGUUUCUCAUCCACAAAGGUGCCCAAGGCCCUGCUUGACACAACAGUGUUACAAGCUGUUAGCUUUGAUGAUUACUUGUUAUAUGGGGGAGUUCAACAAGUUGGUCGGUGUCCUUAGGAAAGUCACCCCUCUUCUUUCCUGUGCCUCCGUUUUCAUUGUCUUUAAAAUGGGUAUAAAGUUGGCUGACAGGUGAAGUUGAAAUGUGCACAGGUAAGGGAGGUAGUGCUGCCCACUGCCAGCAGGGGGCAGCUCAGGCAAGGAAAAGACCCCAGUGCUCUCAGGACCCCCCAACCAGCUACGUGAUCACAUUUUUAUGAUCACAGAUAAGAUGAGCAUAUACUGAGGUCCCUUGCUAGCAGUUUGGCAUGGAGGACCUCAUUUAAUUCUUGCAAAAAUCCUGAGGUAUGAUCACUUUACCCAUUGUACAGAUAGGGAAACUGAGGCUAAGAGGUUCGCCGACUCCUAUAACACCACACAGUUCAGAUAUCCCUGGCCCCAACAUAGAGAUACACACACACAGUCACUCACAUGGAGCAGUCUAUCACUGGAGUCAUAACUCCCCAGCCUUGGCUCUUCCCCAUGGGAAUGCAAAAGGGGUCGGUGAGGAGCAACAGUUACGAAUCAACUGUGUUACAGGUGCUCUCUGUAUAUUCACAACCACCUGGCGAGGUAGUGACUGUUAUCCCCUUUAGCACUGAGGAAACUGAGGCUCUAACAGCUGGCAAAGGCAGAGCUGGGACAAGACCAGGGCUCUGACCUCCUCCACCAAUACCUCUGAAUCCUCCCCAGCAUCUACUGUGGUGCCCUUUGCUGGUCUUUCCUCCUAGGGUCUGAGGUUCCCCACUGGAAAUGGGAUCAGAAUGUUCCCCUGCCUGGUUCCCAACAGGGUCAGAAGAGAGAACUUGGAAGAGUUGGAUUUUGAGUGCUUUGUGUGUUGUGUGUAUGUUGAGGGGAGAGAAGUUGGAAUGCUCCCACACCUCCUGCAGCAUCCCCACCCUCCCCUUCACCCCCACUGCAGCAGUGCCAUGCUCUGGAAGCAAGAAUCUGAUCACACCCUCCUCCUUCUCUCAUCACAUUCGGGUGCCCUCUGUCUUCUCAAUAACCCAGGUCUGAUCUCCCUGGCCGCAACCAGCUGUGUGGCCUUGGUCAGGUCCAUCCCUCCCCUUGGAAUCUGUACUUCCCUAGGCUCUGUCAUCUAUUGGGGACGAUGCCCAGGUCAGGCCUAUACUCAGAGCCUUCUUCUCUUCAUCUCCAGAACAGCCGUCUGCCUGUCUUCCUGGCUCGCUCCCUGCAGGAAUGGUCUGGGGCAACCCCAGCAACACGCCCACCUGUGGCCAGGAUGAAUAGGAAUCCAGUUCAGGCUUGGCUUCCAUGGCAAUCAAGGCCCACCAGGCCCCAGCAACCUUCCCUACCCCCCAUUCCUUUUUGCUGCCCCCCUCCACACCAGGCAUGUUCCCUGCCACACCAUGCUGUUCCCCUCACCUGGGCUGCCCUCCCAACUCCUCUCUGCCUCUGGAGAUGCUCUGCCAUUCAAGACUUGGCUCAGGCUCCAGGUCCUCCCUGGGCCUUCUAGAGCCCCUGGUUCUCACUCCUCUGAACACUUCCAGCCUGGCUAAUAGCCCACUGCAUCCUGGCCUGGGGUACAGGUGGCCAGCACAGGUGUGGGGGCCAGCUUCCAACACAAGCACGGGUAGGUCCCUCUGCAGACCAUGGGCUGCAAGAGGCCCGGCCUUGCCCACUGCAGGGGCCCUGCGCAGGGCUGGGCACGAAGCAGGUGGGUGUCCACCAAUCUAGUAUCCAAAACCCUGCUUGGUUCACCCCCACCUCUGUUGAAGGAAAGCAACACUGUGAUGGAGAGGAGCAGCUGUGGAUUCAAAUCCUGGCUUGGCCACUUUCUAGUUGUGUGACUUGGUGCAUCUGCCCUCAUCUCCUCAGAGACAAAAAUGGCAACACCUCCCUUCUUGGGUUACUAUGAGGAUUAAAUAACAAAACCUCCAAGAAGCAGAGCCCGGUGUCUGGAGAGUGCUCAAUGGACGUAGUUAUUAUUAUCAUCAUCAGCACAGUGCGGGGCACAUGGUGGGCAUUCAGGGAUGAUGGCCCUUGUGUCACAGCCGACACUCUUGACCAGUGAGUCCUCUCUCCUCCCUUUGUUGACUCCUGACCGUCCACAAAUGAGGUUCAGAAUCCUCCAUCCAGCAUCUUCCCUGGUCACAUGGUCCCAACCUUUUGCUCCACCCCCUUCUCUGUUCCCCCCGCAGUCCAUGCUCCAGCCAUCCUGACUCUGUCCCUGGAUUUCUGGCUUACUGACACCUGAGCCUGUGCACAGGCCCUCCCUUCUGUAUAGAGCACGCUUCCCAUCUUGUGGACUUGCUUCCCAUCUUGUGGACUCGGAGGGUUCCGAGCAGCCGUUGAGGCUGAGCUCCUAUGACACCUCCUCCGUGAAGCCUCCCUCACUUUUCCAUUACCAGUGAGGCCUGCCACAGCCUGAUUUGUACUCUGAUCCUGGCACGCAUGAAGCCGUGUUGCCAUUUGUUAACAGUCUGUCCUCCACUAGACUGUGAACUCCACCAGGGGGGGAACCAGGUCUGAUUGCCUCUGUGUCCCCAGAUACCACUUAGCACAGAGUCGAGCCCAUAGUGGCUAUCAGCAAGUGCUAGGCCCAGCCUGCCACCCACCCACCACUCACUUGGGGGCUGGAGGCAUUGCACGCAUGCGGGGCAUGUGGGACUUGUGGGGGCAGCUGAGCAGCGAGGUUUAUAGAGGAACCCAGGGCGGCAGCAGGAAGGAUGAAGGAUGAGUGUCUGAAACUGGGUUGGCAGGCUCAGGGCAUAGCCAGCCUAAGCUGGGGGUCAAAGGCCCCUGGCCCCUUCACUCCCCCAGGGGCACACAGUGUCGGCGGCACGAUGUGGGAUGCCCCAGGAAGGGCAAGGCCAUGGGGCUGGGCUUUCCUCCAUCGACCCAGGACAGAGCUGGUGCUGAAGGCCCCAUCAGCAUGACUGGGGUGGAGAUCUUGGGGACCUCCUUGGGGGGCCACAGUUGGGGGGAAGGGCACAGCCCAUCCAACAUGUCCAUCUGGUGUGGCUGUGCCAGCAGGGAGUGUCCCACAUGCAGAGCUCCCUCUGGGCUGCAGGAGGUGGGGACCUGGGUGGGCAGGUGGGCACAGCAGCAGGGGGCCCCAGGGAGCCUAAUCCAGCGGGCCCUGGAAAAUGAGGCGGACGCAGCCAUGCUCGCCGGUAAGCCAGGCCCCGCAAAAGGGGCAGGCGGCAUGGAAAGCAUGGGUGCCGUGGGGCAGUGGUGUCUGGGCCCAGUAGCGGGCAGUCUUCUCAGAGCAGACGUGGCCGCAAGGUGCAAAGGCAUGGCUAGGCGGCCCAGGGUCCAGGCAGAGGCCGGCCUCCUGGCCAAGCCAUAGAGGCACAUAAGGCCCCACAAGGCGGCAGAGAGGACAUUCGCGCUCCUGGGGGCCCCGCUCCCGCCGGCAGCCCCAGCCGUGGUAGCCAUGGACGUGCCCGCAGCGGACGUAGACCCAGGGCUGCUGUUUGUCGGGCGCUGUGCGGCCACGGGCUGGGCUGGGGAAGGCCAGAGUGCUGAGGCCCACGGGGCACUGGGGCCGCGCUGCAUUUGCCUCCUGCCGCUGGGCCUCCAGUUGCUUCAGUGUGGGAGCCCGCAGCAGCCCCGCCGGUGUGCGCCACAGCAGUGUGGCCCCACACAGGUCGAUGAGAGAGCCGUCCUGCAGCACGUUGGACUCGUUUUCCACCUGCCAGAGGCAGUAGAAGGGCCUUACUGCCCAAGAGGCCCCUGCUGAGCCGCGGGUCCAUCCCACAGAGCCUCCCUGGAGAGGACACCCUGGCGGGCAGGGCAGGCAGGGCAGAGGAGCAAGGCAGGCUAGGAGGCCAAGUGGGCAGGCAGGUGCAUCCCAGGCACAUGCUGAUCCCCCCUCCCAACGGGGCAUGGGCCUUGGUUUCCCCAUCUGUCUAAUCAGGAAGUCUGACCCAGACAGGGUUUUUCUAAAAUAAGAUGUUUUCUGAAGUGCCCUCCUCCUGACAGAGGCAGGAAAGGCCUCUAAUGAGGAAUGCUGGGUACUUAGCUCAAAGCUAACGGGGAAUGCUGGGUACUUAGCCCAAAGCAGCUGUCCCAGUAGUUACAGUUAAAAGCAAAAACUCAGGAGCUAGGCUGCCCAGGCUGAAUUCUGGCCUCACCGUUGACUAACUGUGUCCCUUGUCGAGUAACUUAACCUCUCUCCAUCUCAGUUUCCUCAUCCUCAAGAUGGACUGCACCUUCUGGCAUCUCAAGUGGUUCUUGUGAAGAUUAAAUGAAUCCAUCAGGCCGGGUGCGGUGGCUCACGCCUGUAAUCCCAGCACUUUGGGAGGCCGAGACGAGCGCAUCACCUGAGGUCAGGAGUUCCAGACCAGCCUGGCCAACAAGGUGAAACCCCAUCUCUACUAAAAAUACAAAAAGUUAGCCAGGUGUGGUGGCUCAUGCUUGUAGUCCCAGCUACGUGGGAGGCUGAGGCAGGCGAAUCACUUGAACCCAGGAGGCGGAGGUUGCAGUGAGCCAAGAUUGUGCCAUUGCACUCCAGCCUGGGGGAUAGAGUGAGACUCCAUCUCAAAAAAAAUAAAUAAAUAAAUAAAUAAAUGGAUCAAUCAGUUUAAAAACUUAGAACAGUGCGUGGCAAAUAGUGCUCAAGAAGAGUAGGCUUGUGAAACAUUCACAUGCAUUGUUUUAACAAACAAUGCUUCCCCAGACCUCCCCACAGAGUUGACGCUCUGGAAAGAAAAGCCAGGCUUUUCUCUGAGGUUUUGCAUCUCCUUGGCCAAUGUGCUCAUGCCAGAGAAGAGCAGUGCAUGGCCAGUUUGAGGAGCACGGCCAUGUGACCUUGGACAGCCCCUGCCUCUCUCUAGGACUCACUCCCGGUCCCUAACCUCAGCUCUCUGAUCUGUACCACAAGGAGCUGCCACUAACACCUGUGUCAGAACUACUGUAAGGACCCUUUCCUCCUGCGAGAGGAGAACAGUGCUAAACCUGUCUGAACGUGAUAGACAUGCUACAAACUGCCAACCCUUUAGGCUAUAAACUGCUCACACAUGGGCCAAGUGUCACUCUCAUAAGAAGGUGUGAUUUUUUUUAAGCUGCCAGCAGCCUUGAAGCCACCUGGGACUGCACAGUAUGUCUGUGUGUGCCUUGAUCGCAUCACCCCCUGGACCUCCAGUGGUAUGCAUGCUAUGCUUGGGGACCCUGGUCUGUCUGCCUGUCUGUGGGACAAGUGGCUCAUGCUAAGAACCCCCUGGGCCUGGGAUUCCCUGAUAUGGAGCCUGUUGGGGCUCCCUGGGGCAGAAGGACUGGAGAUCAUCUCCUGGCUUGGGCAGGGGGAUGGGCAGCUUGUGAGGGCCUGGCAAGGAUAGGGGUGGGGAAUGGAGCGGGCCACCUACCAGCUUGCCCCGCUGCUGGGCUGAGCGGCUGUCCCGCAAUGUGUACACAUUCCCACAGACCGAGAUCUCCCGCCAGACACCCGGGGCUGAGUCCUCGGAGAAGCCGCCUGCCGGGUGCAUCACCAGGACUCCAUUGGUGGUCAGUCCAUCCAUCAGGCCAUCUGGGGUCCGCCAUUUGGCCGCUCGCUCCUGGGACCACAUGAGGGAUCAGAUCACAUCCCCCAGGGGCCCCCCAGCAGGCCAUGUGCCAGAGGCACUGCCCCCGCUACCUUCAAGUUCAGAGGCGGCCCAGAGAGGACUGGCAUUGAAGCUGCAUGACUUGAGCGUCUCUCUGGGCCUCACUUUGCUCAUCAGUUAGGUGGGGUUGCUAACUGCCAGGACCACCAUUUGGAUUACUGUGGGCUGGUUCAUCACCUCAAGAUGCUGCACCUCCCAAGCCUACCCCUUGCCUCACAGAUGAAGAGUUGGUCCCUUCCUGGGGCUCACUCACUCCAAGGAAGAUGUUGCUAGAGGCAUCGAAGCCAGCGGCAUAGAUGCGGGCAGUAUAGGGUGGCCGGCGGUCACAGAGGAUGCGGCAGGCAUAGCGGGAGAUGGUGCUCUGGGCAGAAGGGCCCUCGGCAGCCCCUCCUCCAGGGGACGUGUCUGUUACCACGAAGUCAAUCAUGUUCUCUGUGGAGCGGCCAAUCUGUGAGGACAGGGAGAGCAAGCAGGGACUGUAUGUACAUAGGGGACUCUCAUGGGCCUUCCCUCCCAGAGUACCAGCAGCUGCUCUGUAUGCAAGGUCACCAAAAAAGGAGGCUGCCAGGCCCUGGAGAAGGGGCAGCACCAACUCCAUAGGCCCUCUAGGCUCCCAGGUGGGGUCUCCAAGUCCAAGAAGCCGUGGCCUGGAGCAGCUUCUCCUUCUCUGUUGCCCCCACAGCACUAGGGAUCGCCCCAUUCAAUAAAUACAAGUUGAUUUGCUGAUAUAAUUAUAAGAGGGUGCUCAAAUGUUAGCAGCAGAUAGUGACUUCUAAGUAACUAUUUGCUAUAUGCCAGCCACCAUGCUAAACAUUUUAUAUGCAAUGCCUAAGUUAAUCUUCCCGUGGGGUGGGUACUAUUAUGGGCCUCAUUUUACAGAUGAGUAAACCAAGGCCCAGAGAACUUAAGUGAUGCUUCCCCAAAGUCACCCAGUGGUAAGUGAUGGAGCCAAAAUCUGAACCCAGGCACUAGGCCUCUCACACCUGAACUCCUGAGCUGUGUGACCUCCCACAGUCUAGGAGUCUUGAAUUUGAUCCUUGAUAUAGCCACUGACUUGCUGUGUGACUCUGCAGUCAACAGCCCACACCGGGACAUCCUGCUUCCUCGUCUGGAGAGAAGCAGCUUUCCCAUGGCCUCCCAACCCGUAGCCUCACCUGAAAUGCUUGCAGAGCCUAGAGGCCUGGUGGCCAGGAGGUGUGUGGAGAGGCCUGAGCAUACCUGGAACAUGUCUGUGUCGCUAUCAUGUGUAUACUCCACUAUGACCGAGUGGCUCCGGGACAGUGUAUACGAGAUGCUGUGCUGACCACGGUUACUCAGUGCCUGGUGGGGAGAAAAAAGUCACUUGCCAGGGUGUGCAGCCAUGAUAAGUGUAUGCCUUGAGCAAGCACCUGGAGCUCAAGGCCCAGCAGCCACUCCCUGGGAAGGGGGCAGCUCCAUCCUUCUCAGAGGGUGGACAGUGCAGCAGAUGUUUCACAUGAUUUAAGCCCUACAGUCACCCUAAGGAUGGGGUUAUCAGGCUGGGUGCGGUGGCUCACGCCUGUAAUCCCAGCAUUUUGGGAGGCUGAGGUGGGCGGAUCACUUGAGGUCAGGAGUUCAAGACUGGCCUGGCCAACAUAGUGAAAUCCCGUCUCUACUAAAAA
RNAcentral lists this long non-coding RNA (8193 nucleotides) under Homo sapiens (human). Its description in RNAcentral is "non-protein coding lnc-MRPL11-1:11". The record is from RNAcentral. Lineage: Eukaryota; Metazoa; Chordata; Mammalia; Primates; Hominidae.